Molecule: ribosomal RNA, 537 nt
Filed under: Pseudoalteromonas ruthenica
Lineage: Bacteria; Pseudomonadati; Pseudomonadota; Gammaproteobacteria; Alteromonadales; Pseudoalteromonadaceae
Description: bacterial SSU rRNA
Rfam family: Bacterial small subunit ribosomal RNA
Source: RNAcentral
UGCAGCCAUGCCGCGUGUGUGAAGAAGGCCUUCGGGUUGUAAAGCACUUUCAGCAAGGAGGAAAGGUUAGUAGUUAAUACCUGCUAGCUGUGACGUUACUUGCAGAAGAAGCACCGGCUAACUCCGUGCCAGCAGCCGCGGUAAUACGGAGGGUGCGAGCGUUAAUCGGAAUUACUGGGCGUAAAGCGUACGCAGGCGGUUUGUUAAGCGAGAUGUGAAAGCCCCGGGCUCAACCUGGGAACUGCAUUUCGAACUGGCAAACUAGAGUGUGAUAGAGGGUGGUAGAAUUUCAGGUGUAGCGGUGAAAUGCGUAGAGAUCUGAAGGAAUACCGAUGGCGAAGGCAGCCACCUGGGUCAACACUGACGCUCAUGUACGAAAGCGUGGGGAGCAAACAGGAUUAGAUACCCUGGUAGUCCACGCCGUAAACGAUGUCUACUAGGAGCUCGGCUUUUCGGAGCUGUUUUCCAAAGCAAACGCAUUAAGUAGACCGCCUGGGGAGUACGGCCGCAAGGUUAAAACUUAAAGAAAAUUGACGG